GCAUCUAAGCGGGAAGCCCCCCUCAAGAUUAGGUUUCUCUGGACCUUUAAGGUCCCUAAAGGGUCGUUGUAGACCACAACGUUGAUAGGCGGGGUGUGGAAGUGCAGUAAUGCAUUAAGCUAACCCGUACUAAUUGCCCGUGAGGCUUGAUCAUAUAACACCCAAGAAG
This 169-nucleotide ribosomal RNA is filed under the name Gammaproteobacteria bacterium. Its description in RNAcentral is "partial 23S ribosomal RNA". It matches the Rfam family "Bacterial large subunit ribosomal RNA", at positions 2777 to 2925 of the family's 2925-position model. Lineage: Bacteria; Pseudomonadati; Pseudomonadota; Gammaproteobacteria. The record is from RNAcentral.